UUUUUAGGGAUGCAGGUGUGGUGUAUGGGAGUUCCCAGGAUGAGGGUCGAAUCUGAGCUGGAGCUGCCAGCCUACACCACUUCUGAAUAUCUGAGCAUCUCUCUAAACGUUCUGAAUAAAAUAAAAUAUUGUUGAAUGACCUGAGCUGGUCUUUCUGGAAAAUUCAAAAGUAUAUUAAAAUUGUGGGAACAGUUCCUUGAAAAUGAGAUUAGUUCUGGCCUCAGAGAAAAAUAAAGUGUUUUCUUACAUGAAAAUUUAGUAGGUAAUUCAUAUAUCUUAUGAAAUGCAGAUGAUUCUUAGCUGAGCAAGACCAUCCAGUCCACCACAGGGCACCUAGCAACCUUGCCUUUUGCCAAUUAUUGUGAAACUAGAACAAAAUCCUGACACAGGUACAAAACUCCUAGGAUGGAGUCCCUGUGAAGAACCACUGCUCUAAGUAUGCUCCUAAUCAAAAAUUUUGUGUAAAAUAUUUAUAACCAAGUAUAUAUCAUAAAACAAGCUACAAAUAUAAGACUCUGGAAUGUUUUCAUAGUGGUAAAAUAUUCUAAGUCCAAUAAAAAUUUUAUAAAAAUUACAUAUACAUAUAUACAUUUAUAUGCAUACAUACAUAUACACAUUUGUGUGUGUAUAUAUACAUGUGCAUAUAAAUAAAUAAAUGGAGAGAGAGGGAAAAGGAGGGAGGAAAGAAAGGAAUGAAGAAAGAGUAAGAGAGAACUAGAAAAAGUCCAGUGUGUCCUGUUUUAUUAUGGACAUGUAAAGACAUAAAAACACAUUUCACAUAAGCUGCUGAAGUAGAUAGACUUUAAGGUCCUUUCCACUCAUAAGAUAUAGAUAUCUGUGAUUCCUUAACGGUCCAUAAAUAUGCCAUAAAAAUAAGUUGCUUGUUAUAACACAAAUCAAUAACAACUUUUGCUAGAAUCUCAAGAGUCUAAAAUGACUGUCUAAAAGGAUUUAAUUUGCCUUUAUCUAUAACAAGUACGUCAACUUUUAACUGAUCCUUUUUGGCCACAAUAAAUAGUCUUCUUUUUAAGCAGGUAAUUAAAGAUAAUGUUGUUUUCUUUAGAGCUACACUCACAUUGGGCAUUCUUUUCACAAUCAUUGCAAGACCAAAGGCUUCAUUUCUUUAUGGGAUUUAGAUGAGCCUCUUGAAUCAUAUUUGGCUGUUCCUUCCUUUGCUCUUGCCAUCUUCCCACCAUUCAAAAGUUACAACAGUGUCAAUAUGUGGACAAUAAGUGCAAAGCAAGAUCUCUCAGCCCGUGCUGAAGAAAGUGUGUGUACACUUGUAACUUGCAUUAGAGAUGGCAGUGGGGUUUGUCAACUUCCUGGACAAAAUUUUAAUCAAGGGUAAGAACCACCUUCUUUUCCAACUCUAGCUGGUUCUAUGACAAUCACCCAGCAUCAUCAAUGCAGUGCUAUUCUGUAAACUAGUGGGAAAAUGCAGAAGGAAGUGAAUUAUGGGGGUAAAUAACACUGGAUGCAAAACAUCUCUUUGUGACUGUCAGCCUACCAAGCAGUAUUUCUAAUGGAACAAAUUUUUAGCUCUUGAAUUUUUAAAUUUUCUCAGACCCACUGUCUUAGGACAUAUCCAGUCCAUAACUAAGAGGGUAUGGACAUCAUUUAAUUAAUCCUCUAUUUACCUAUGCAUUUCCCCUUUCAACUGGCAAAUUUUUACUUAUAGGUUAAAUAUUGAAUAUUCUCAAAGAGGCUCAAAUACAUCAGUGUUCAAUGAGAAUGUUUUGGUUAUCUUCAAUCAAUAGAAAACUUUGGAAACAGAUCCCUAGACCAAAGAGAAAUUGGUUAACUUAUUUAAUGGUCAUAAUAACCAGAUAACUGUCACUGCCCCCAUAUAUUUAGAUGGGGAAACAGACUCAGUAACACUGAGUAAUUUUAACAAGCUUAAAUACCUAGUAAGUGAUCUUACGCCAGGCUUAUUUCAAACUCUGACUCUUAAAACAGUUAGUCCAGAUGGAGAAAUUCUAAAAUGGGUCAUGUGAAUAAACUAAUUUUUAAUUGGUUUUGGUUCUAGAUGCUCAGUGCUCCUGCGAUCAAUUCAUUUUCCCGAGGGUUUGUUUUUGGUAUGGCUUUGUUUAGGACAGAGCCAUCAGAAAGGCAAUCUCUACCUCCACCAGAUCCGAAUGUGUCCCCUACUGUCAUGAAUGACACCCAAGACACAAACUUAGGUAUCCAACAAUAAGCUCAAAAGUCAUGUGCUUCCUCCUGAAACUCAGACUUCUUUUAGAAAAGCUUUAUUGAGAUCCUUAUGCUUAUAUCUAACUCCUACAGGGAAUUUCACAGAAGAGAUAUUUAUUAUGUGCCAUCAGAUUAAAACCUAGAGAAAAAAAGGAUAACAGAAACAAAGCAAGAAUCAUCUUAGGAAAAAUCAGAAGCUACUGUGCAAACACAAUCCAGAAGUCAGUUUAUAGGAACCUCUGCUUCCUUUAUAAAACUCUUCCUGUAAGUGCCUGCUCACUGGCAACUGAUCAUGAAAUAGAUGGGAAGAGAAGCCAACAGGACAUUCCCAUAAUGCCUUGCCUUAUGGUUUCACUAUCAAGCUGACGUGUCUUCUGUGAUGUUCCAGCCCCAAUUAUCAAUCAAGAAGAGUUUUCCCAGCUCCUAAGCCCAAAAGUACAAAUUGGCAAUCUGGACCUUCAACAUGCUUAUCAUUGUUCAAAAAAUUCAUUUUAAAAGUGGUCCUUCUUUAUUAGAGGGACAGUAUGCUAUUUCUUUCUUAAGAGUGUUACCUCAGAGCUCCCUUUGUGGCUCAGUGGUUAAUAAACCCAACUAGGACCCAUGAGGAUGUGGGUUCAAUCCCUGGCCUUGCUUAGUGGGUUAAGGAUCCGGCAUUGCCAUGAGCUGUGGUGUAGGUUGCAGAUGUGGCUUGAAUCCUGAAUUGCUGUGGCUGUGGUGUAGACUGGCAGUUGCAGCUCCAAUUCGACCCAUAGCCAAGGAACCUCAUUAUGCCUCAGGGUGGCCCUAAAACAGCAAAAAUAAAAUAAAAUAAAAGUGCUACCUCCUGGCUAUAUUGUCUCCCCAGUCUGGAGAUAGUAUUCCUCCCAAGAAGAAAAUAUAGAUGAACUCAAUUCUGCCCAGGUCAUAGCAAAGAAACUGUAAGCAUUCCUUCUGGCAAGAGUGUUGUUUGUGUAACUUCUGUUGUUGGAGGAGUGAUGGGGAAUUGGUAUGGGGGCACCUCAAACACUGGAUUCCCAAGAACAGGCAUUUUCCCCAUGCAUUAACCCCUCCAAAUAGACAGGAAAGGAGAGAUUUCAAUUCCAUCCCACCCCUCAAAAGCAACACUUUGGUGGCCACUGGCCAGUCUUUUUUUCCUGGAAAAAAGGUGUUGGCAACCCUGAAAAUAACAGCUAAAACUCCGGGAUAGCCUGUCACUUGUUUGGGUGUUGAUUUGGGGGUGUUGUUUGCUUAGUAUGGAUUAGCAGGGCAAUACUGACUUUAGAUAGAGAUGAAGUGUAAGAAACCCUGUGUCUCAGAGUGACAUCUGAUUCAUCACAAAGGAUUUCCCUCUUUGACCCCAAUGAGUCACUUGUAUGCUGAAAUCUGGAAGACAUAAGCAAAAUCAAUAAGAGGCCAUCUCUACUAUGAGACAUUUUACCUCAAAUCUCCCAAUUUCUCAAAAGACAAGGCAUGCAGCUAAAAUCUAGUCCAUCUAGCAAUUUAAAUUUCAGCAUUAACAUAAAGAGUGAACAUGCCGGAGUUUCCCGUUGAGGCACAGUGGUUGACAAAUCUGACUGGGAGCCAUGAGGUUGCGGUUGGAUUCGUUAACCACUGUGCCACGAUGGGAACUCCGCAGGCACAUAUCUUGAUACGUGACCACACACAAAAAUUUUGAGAUCAUUGUGAUGAUUCCUCCCUACCUACUAAUAACUACUUUCUGCUACUUUCAGAGAAUCUUAGAAGAAUUCUGGUCCCAUUUUGCAGAUAAACAAUUGUAGUCAGAGGCAGAUAGUUGCCAAUAUCUUCCCAAUAAUGUAUGUUAUAGCUAUGAGAAUGUUCAGCACUUUCAGUUCCCAAGAAAUCAGGAAUCUCAUAUAUCUGCUUCAAGUCACUGAUUUGGGUGCGUAUUUCAGGGUUACGAGUAUUUGUGUCAUGGACCAGGGACACUGAGUGGUUUGAAUGUGCUCAUCAGCUGACUGACAGAACAGGAACCAAUGAGGAGAUGAAAGGGAUGAGUGGACUCUAGAUUCCUCCCUUUAGAUCCUUUACCCUCACAUCUACCUUCACCCCCACAGCUGGAUCUAAUAGCAGCUACCUGGGAGGAGAGAAAGCAGGCAGAAAAGAAGAAAAGGAGCAAACCUGCAGACGUAAUAGACCAUGCUCUAGCCCAUUCUGGUCCAGAGGAUACACGUGGGCAUAGAUCCCUCUUUAUGUGCCCCAACAGUGCCUGCCAAUCUGAACACAAAGUCGACUUUCAGUGGAUUCUUCUACUUUAUCCUCACUUAUUUAAGUCCACACUCACAUUCUUGUUACAAGUGUGGCCAUUUCUAGCUCGGCACAGCAGUUUUCACAUCUUUACAAAGGUUGCUUAUUUGAAGUCAUUCUCUUAAGGACCAAAUUCAGUUACUGCACAGACAAAAAGCCGCUAAAAUUACUUUUAAAUGCUGAUAUUAUUUUUAAAGGGCAAAUCAAUUUCCAAAACCAAAUUAAAGGGAAAAGUCAUUAAAAAGUCAUGGUAUAGCUAAAGCAUGUGUUUAGGUAUGUCAUUUAGUUGCCCAAAUCAAGUUAAAUUCAAACCAAUGAUUUUUUGCCUAAUAGCAAAUAAUUUACAAGACAAAGUACAAAUAUCAAAAGUAAAGGCUGAAUGUUAGAUAUUCUGUUGCAACCUAGUUAAUAGGCGGUACAGAAUGUCACCCAUUCCGCUGAUGAGAUAUCUUCAUGUCUUCCCUUUGUCAUAAUUAUCAAACUUAAGUUUGACAAAUACUUUGCCGUUUGGAAGAAACCAUGCGAAAUUUUAUCUGGAUUAACAGUAACUGUGUGUAUAACUCAACUAAAAGCAUUUCCUUACCCCCCAACUCACAACUUUUCUCUCUACGUGCAUUACUGAAAGCUUAUGGUUAAUGUCUCAGAAGGACACCAUGAGAAUAAAGAGAUACCUUCUACGUGGUAUAAAUCAGAAUAUGCAUUGGCCUUUUAAAGUCCAUUAAAUCCAUAUUCUAAACACUAAACUUUUCCAAGGGUUUUUCUAUCCCUCCAAGCACAAUAUUAAGUUUGCUUACAUCUCAAACUCAAGCAAGAGCUGAAACCCACUUUCAGAAUGAUAUUCUACUUGGUGACUAUGUGGACUGUACUCAGUUGGAAAUGACAAGCCUUGUAACAGAAUCCUGUUGUCAUCCUGUCUCACGUCCUUACAAAACAAGAGGUUCGUGAUUUUCCUUUUUCAAAUGGCAGCAGGAAUUGUCAGACCUUUCUUCAAGGACUCUGGAAGAUAUCACCUGAAAUGUACCCAAUUAAUGGCAGAAGGGGAAGAAGUGUCAGAUCAUGUUAUCUGCUCACAAUAGGUCAUUGUAGGUCUAGGACUUUUUCACAAAUGAUUUAGAAAAAAGGUUUUGUCCAUCAAGAGAAGAGGAAGGAAAGCAACCUCUCAAUGUUGGGCUCUGCCUGUGCCCCUGUCUUCCAUCACAACUUCAAAUUCAGGGAGGACUUUAAUUCUAUCGGACUGCACCAUAGCUGUUGCAAAGUUGCAAUGGCCAUGAUAUGGAAAGUCAAUUUUCCUGGGAGAAUCAGAGGAAAAGUUUGUGGUUUUGCUGCAUGGAUUUUUCCUUCUUUUUCAUUUUUUUGACUAUAUACAAUUGGUUUAGAUUUUAACGGGGGGGGGGAGUUUUUAAUUACUAUUUUAAAAGCUGAUCAUCAAUUUUGAACAGUGCCUCCAUUGUUCAAUAUGUGCAUCCCCUUGUCAACAUAAAGAGGACAUGGUAUUAAUUAUGCACAGACAUCUGUGUCAUACCAAUAUACUUUAUCUGAAUAGGACAGCACUAGUCUUCCCUUAAAAUGGGCAUUGUAAUCCACUCGACAUUGAGGUAUUGGGCUAAGGAAGAAUGUUCUAGACCAUAAAUGGUGCAUGAUUUUAGAUAUUCUUUCAGUAGCAUGGCCCUUAUCUUCUCCAUCUGUGCCUUUCUCUUCUUGCCCUUGACCUCUAGACACAAUAUGCUUUAUCAAAAAAAAAAAAUGACAAUGACACAUAAGUGAUACUGUAUUAGAAUGGUCAUUUAAAUAUCACUAAUUUCAACAGAGAAAAAUUCAACUAAUUUCUGCCUCUUGGUGGAACAGAAAUAGUCAGUUAACCUCUCUGAAUCUCACCUUUUUAAACAAAAAGCAAUGUUUCUCCCCUACCUACUCAAAACAGUUAUUCUCAGAGUCAAGAGACAACAUGCGAAAGUGUUUUUGAAACAUUUUGAAGAGCCACCACAAAUAUGCAAGGGCAUAGCCAUUAAAGUGAGUUAAAGUCUCAUUUUUUUAACGUAGGUGAAGUAAAAUGGAACUCAUAC
RNAcentral lists this long non-coding RNA (6497 nucleotides) under Sus scrofa (pig). Its description in RNAcentral is "lncRNA (ENSSSCG00030072459.1)". Lineage: Eukaryota; Metazoa; Chordata; Mammalia; Artiodactyla; Suidae. The record is from RNAcentral.